GACGAACGCUGGCGGCGUGCUUAACACAUGCAAGUCGAGCGAUGAAGUUCCUUCGGGAAUGGAUUAGCGGCGGACGGGUGAGUAACACGUGGGUAACCUGCCUCAUAGAGGGGAAUAGCCUUCCGAAAGGAAGAUUAAUGCCGCAUAAGAUUGCAGUUUCACAUGAAACAGCAAUUAAAGGAGUAAUCCGCUAUGAGAUGGACCCGCGUCGCAUUAGCUAGUUGGUAAGGUAACGGCUUACCAAGGCGACGAUGCGUAGCCGACCUGAGAGGGUGAUCGGCCACAUUGGGACUGAGACACGGCCCAGACUCCUACGGGAGGCAGCAGUGGGGAAUAUUGCACAAUGGGGGAAACCCUGAUGCAGCAACGCCGCGUGAGUGAUGAAGGUCUUCGGAUUGUAAAACUCUGUCUUCAGGGACGAUAAUGACGGUACCUGAGGAGGAAGCCACGGCUAACUACGUGCCAGCCGCCGCCGUAA
Molecule: ribosomal RNA, 478 nt
Filed under: uncultured bacterium
Lineage: Bacteria
Description: partial 16S ribosomal RNA
Rfam family: Bacterial small subunit ribosomal RNA
Source: RNAcentral